This 2088-nucleotide ribosomal RNA is filed under the name Limnohabitans sp. JirII-56. Its description in RNAcentral is "bacterial LSU rRNA". It matches the Rfam family "Bacterial large subunit ribosomal RNA", at positions 543 to 2637 of the family's 2925-position model. The record is from RNAcentral. Lineage: Bacteria; Pseudomonadati; Pseudomonadota; Betaproteobacteria; Burkholderiales; Comamonadaceae.
AUAGAUCCUGAAACCGUAUGCUUACAAAAAGUAGGAGCCCGCAAGGGUGACUGCGUACCUUUUGUAUAAUGGGUCAGCGACUUACAUUCAGUGGCAAGGUUAACCGAAUAGGGAAGCCGUAGAGAAAUCGAGUCCGAAUAGGGCGAAUUAGUCGCUGGGUGUAGACCCGAAACCAAGUGAUCUAUCCAUGGGCAGGAUGAAGGUGCCGUAACAGGUACUGGAGGUCCGAACCGACUAAUGUUGCAAAAUUAGCGGAUGACCUGUGGAUAGGGGUGAAAGGCUAAACAAACUUGGAAAUAGCUGGUUCUCUCCGAAAACUAUUUAGGUAGUGCCUCAAGUAUUACCUGCGGGGGUAGAGCACUGUUUUGGCUAGGGGGUCAUGGCGACUUACCAAACCAAGGCAAACUCCGAAUACCGCAGAGUACAGCUUGGGAGACAGAGCACCGGGUGCUAACGUCCGGACUCAAGAGGGAAACAACCCAGACCGCCAGCUAAGGUCCCUAAAAUUGGCUAAGUGGGAAACGAAGUGGGAAGGCUAAAACAGUCAGGAUGUUGGCUUAGAAGCAGCCAUCAUUUAAAGAAAGCGUAAUAGCUCACUGAUCGAGUCGUCCUGCGCGGAAGAUGUAACGGGGCUAAGCCAGUUACCGAAGCUGCGGAUUUGCAAUUUAUUGCAAGUGGUAGGAGAGCGUUCUGUAAGCCUGUGAAGGUGCGUUGUAAAGCGUGCUGGAGGUAUCAGAAGUGCGAAUGCUGACAUGAGUAGCGUUAAAGGGGGUGAAAAGCCCCCUCGCCGUAAGCGCAAGGUUUUCUACGCAACGUUCAUCGGCGUAGAGUGAGUCGGCCCCUAAGGCGAGGCAGAGAUGCGUAGUUGAUGGGAAACAGGUCAAUAUUCCUGUACCGAUGUGUAGUGCGAUGUGGGGACGGAGAAGGUUAGCUCAGCAGACUGUUGGAUAUGUCUGUUCAAGCCUGUAGUCGUGCCUGGUAGGUAAAUCCGCCGGGCUUAGAUGAGGGGUGAUAACGAGGAAGCUUGCUUCCGAAGUGAGUGAUACCCUGCUUCCAGGAAAAGCCACUAAGCUUCAGCUACACACGACCGUACCGCAAACCGACACUGGUGCGCGAGAUGAGUAUUCUAAGGCGCUUGAGAGAACUCAGGAGAAGGAACUCGGCAAAUUGACACCGUAACUUCGGAAGAAGGUGUGCCUUUAGUAUGUGAACCUGUACAAGGGGAGCAGAAUGAGGCCUCAGAGAAUCGGUGGCUGCGACUGUUUAAUAAAAACACAGCACUCUGCAAACACGAAAGUGGACGUAUAGGGUGUGACGCCUGCCCGGUGCUGGAAGAUUAAAUGAUGGGGUGCAAGCUCUUGAUUGAAGUCCCAGUAAACGGCGGCCGUAACUAUAACGGUCCUAAGGUAGCGAAAUUCCUUGUCGGGUAAGUUCCGACCUGCACGAAUGGCGUAACGAUGGCCACACUGUCUCCUCCUGAGACUCAGCGAAGUUGAAAUGUUUGUGAUGAUGCAAUCUCCCCGCGGAAAGACGGAAAGACCCCAUGAACCUUUACUGUAGCUUUGUAUUGGACUUUGAACAGAUCUGUGUAGGAUAGGUGGGAGGCUUUGAAGCGUGGUCGCUAGACUGCGUGGAGCCAACGUUGAAAUACCACCCUGGUGUGUUUGAGGUUCUAACCUAGGUCCCUUAUCGGGAUCGGGGACAGUGCAUGGUAGGCAGUUUGACUGGGGCGGUCUCCUCCCAAAGCGUAACGGAGGAGUUCGAAGGUACGCUAGGUACGGUCGGACAUCGUGCUAAUAGUGCAAUGGCAUAAGCGUGCUUAACUGCGAGACUGACAAGUCGAGCAGAUACGAAAGUAGGACAUAGUGAUCCGGUGGUUCUGUAUGGAAGGGCCAUCGCUCAACGGAUAAAAGGUACUCUGGGGAUAACAGGCUGAUACCGCCCAAGAGUUCAUAUCGACGGCGGUGUUUGGCACCUCGAUGUCGGCUCAUCUCAUCCUGGGGCUGUAGCCGGUCCCAAGGGUAUGGCUGUUCGCCAUUUAAAGAGGUACGUGAGCUGGGUUUAAAACGUCGUGAGACAGUUUGGUCC